UACGGGGGGGGCAAGCGUUGUUCGGAAUUACUGGGCGUAAAGGGUUCGUAGGUGGCCAACUAAGUCAGACGUGAAAUCCCUCAGCUUAACUGGGGAACUGCGUCUGAGACUGGAUGGCUUGAGUGCAGGAGAGGAACGCGGAAUUCCAGGUGUAGCGGUGAAAUGCGUAGAUAUCAGGAGGAACACCAAUUGCGAAGGCAGCUCGCUGGGACGUUACUGACGCUGAGACGCGAAAGCGUGGGGAGCAAACAGG
This 253-nucleotide ribosomal RNA is filed under the name uncultured bacterium. RNAcentral's name for it is "partial 16S ribosomal RNA". It matches the Rfam family "Bacterial small subunit ribosomal RNA", at positions 524 to 776 of the family's 1533-position model. The record is from RNAcentral.